Molecule: non-coding RNA, 82 nt
Organism: Amanita rubescens
Lineage: Eukaryota; Fungi; Basidiomycota; Agaricomycetes; Agaricales; Amanitaceae
Source: the annotation of a GenBank genome assembly
UCUCUGCUAGUAUAUCGGUUAGUACACGCGCCUGUCAUUCUGAUGGACGCGCGAAAGCUGGGUUCGACUCCCAGGCAGAGAG